RNAcentral lists this long non-coding RNA (223 nucleotides) under Solanum tuberosum (potato). RNAcentral describes it as "long non-coding RNA (STUB_LNC011341)". The record is from RNAcentral. Lineage: Eukaryota; Viridiplantae; Streptophyta; Magnoliopsida; Solanales; Solanaceae.
UUAAAGCUAAGUGUCAACACUAGAUGGACACAAAUCGAUCUUGCAAGAAAAUCAAUUUUGUCAUCAAUAGGAUCAACUAGUGUUGGUACUUAUGCUUAACAAACACAUUAUUCCUAAAUUAAAGCUAAGUGUCAACACUAGAUGGACACAAAUCGAUCUUGCAAGAAAAUCAAUUUUGUCAUCAAUAGGAUCAACUAGUGUUGGUACUUAUGCUUAACAAACA